AGCGAACGCUGGCGGCAGGCCUAACACAUGCAAGUCGAGCGCCCGGGCAACCGGGAGCGGCAGACGGGUGAGUAACACGUGGGAACAUGCCCUUCGGUUCGGAAUAACUCAGGGAAACUUGAGCUAAUACCGGAUACGUCCGUAAGGAGAAAGAUUUAUCGCCGAAGGAUUGGCCCGCGUCUGAUUAGCUAGUUGGUGGGGUAAUGGCCCACCAAGGCGACGAUCAGUAGCUGGUCGAGAGGAUGAUCAGCCACACUGGGACUGAGACACGGCCCAGACUCCUACGGGAGGCAGCAGUGGGGAUAUUGGACAAUGGGCGAAAGCCUGAUCCAGCCAUGCCGCGUGAGUGAUGAAGGCCCUA
This 361-nucleotide ribosomal RNA is filed under the name uncultured bacterium. RNAcentral describes it as "bacterial SSU rRNA". It matches the Rfam family "Bacterial small subunit ribosomal RNA", at positions 29 to 419 of the family's 1533-position model. The record is from RNAcentral.